Molecule: ribosomal RNA, 253 nt
Filed under: uncultured bacterium
Lineage: Bacteria
Description: partial 16S ribosomal RNA
Rfam family: Bacterial small subunit ribosomal RNA
Source: RNAcentral
UACGGGGGGAGCAAGCGUUGUUCGGAUUUACUGGGCGUAAAGGGCGCGUAGGCGGCGCAACAAGUCACUUGUGAAAUCUCCGGGCUUAACCCGGAGCGGCCAAGUGAUACUGUCGUGCUAGAGUGCGGAAGGGGCUACUGGAAUUCUCGGUGUAGCGGUGAAAUGCGUAGAUAUCGAGAGGAACACCUGCGGCGAAGGCGGCUCGCUGGGCCAUUCCUGACGCUGAGACGCGAAAGCUAGGGGAGCGAACAGG